This 501-nucleotide ribosomal RNA is filed under the name uncultured Capnodiales. RNAcentral's name for it is "eukaryotic LSU rRNA". The stretch from base 163 to 316 matches the Rfam family "5.8S ribosomal RNA". Lineage: Eukaryota; Fungi; Ascomycota; Dothideomycetes; Capnodiales. The record is from RNAcentral.
UGCGGAGGGAUCAUUACCGAGCGAGGGCCCCGGGCCCGACCUCCAACCCUGUCGACCAACACCUGUUGCCUCGGGGGCGACCCGGACGCCGACGCGUCGGGCACCCCGGUGGACCACUUCGACUCUGUGUCCGUACGUCGGAGUACUUUGUGAAUCAAUCAAAACUUUCAACAACGGAUCUCUUGGUUCUGGCAUCGAUGAAGAACGCAGCGAAAUGCGAUAAGUAAUGUGAAUUGCAGAAUUCAGUGAAUCAUCGAAUCUUUGAACGCACAUCGCGCCCUUUGGUAUUCCGGGGGGCAUGCCUGUUCGAGCGUCAUUACACCACUCAAGCUCGGCUUGGUAUUGGGCGUCGGGGCUCCCCCGCGCCUCAAUUUCACCGGCUGGACCGUCCGAAUCUCAGCGUUGUGGAUUUCAAUUCGCUGGCGAAGGGGGUGGAUCGCGCCGUUAAAAUGUCCAUCAAAGGUUGACCUCGGAUCAGGUAGGGAUACCCGCUGAACUUAA